RNAcentral lists this ribosomal RNA (469 nucleotides) under uncultured bacterium. RNAcentral's name for it is "partial 16S ribosomal RNA". It matches the Rfam family "Bacterial small subunit ribosomal RNA", at positions 28 to 507 of the family's 1533-position model. The record is from RNAcentral.
GACGAACGCUGGCGGCGUGCUUAACACAUGCAAGUCGAACGGAAAGGCCCUGCUUUUGUGGGGUGCUCGAGUGGCGAACGGGUGAGUAACACGUGAGUAACCUGCCCUUGACUUUGGGAUAACGUCAGGAAACUGGGGCUAAUACCGGGUAGGAGCUCCUGCUGCAUGGUGGGGGUUGGAAAGUUUCGGCGGUUGGGGAUGGACUCGCGGCUUAUCAGCUUGUUGGUGGGGUAGUGGCCUACCAAGGCGUUGACGGGUAGCCGGCCUGGGAGGGGGACCGGCCACAUUGGGACUGAGAUACGGCCCAGACUCCUACGGGGGGCCGCAGUGGGGAAUAUUGCACAAUGGGCGCAAGCCCGAUGCAGCAACGCCGCGUGCGGGAUGACGGGCUUCGGGUUGGAAACCGCUUUCAGCAGGGACGAAGCUUUUUGUGACGGUACCUGCAGAAGAAGCACCGGCUAACUACGUG